UACGGGGGGAGCAAGCGUUGUUCGGAUUUACUGGGCGUAAAGGGCGCGUAGGCGGCGCAACAAGUCACUUGUGAAAUCUCCGGGCUUAACUCGGAACGGUCAAGUGAUACUGUUGUGCUAGAGUGCGGAAGGGGCAACUGGAAUUCUCGGUGUAGCGGUGAAAUGCGUAGAUAUCGAGAGGAACACCUGCGACGAAGGCGGGUUGCUGGGCCGACACUGACGCUGAUGCGCGAAAGCCAGGGGAGCGAACGGG
This 253-nucleotide ribosomal RNA is filed under the name uncultured bacterium. RNAcentral's name for it is "partial 16S ribosomal RNA". It matches the Rfam family "Bacterial small subunit ribosomal RNA", at positions 524 to 776 of the family's 1533-position model. The record is from RNAcentral.